CAAUUAUUUUUUAAAAGACACUCCAACCACAUUAAAAUAUCAGCGUCUCAAAUUAAUAUUCAUUAUGAGCAAUUUGUGUUUCAUCUGUUUUUCAGCCAGUCCAUCCAUCCAUCCAUUUUCUAAAGAUGCCUUAUACCUACUUGGGAUGCUAUCAGGCACAAAUUGGAUCAUCCUUACAUUCAAUUCUCAAAGAUGUCUUAUACCUUCCUGGAAUGCUGUCAACUAUCCCAGACACAUUUGCCUGAAGCCUAGACAUACUCUGGAUCCUUCACCUUGUGUCCAGCGUCAACUGUUGACCAUAAUUCAAAUCCCAAAACUUUACAUUUGGGAUGGAAAAUUGCUCUAUCAUCACACUCCAGCUCUCAAUCCAGCAUGUCACAGAAGAUGACUGCAACCUAUCAGCAGUACCAUUAUCGCUGAGAAAAUGAAUCUACAGCAGUCAUCAGGUAUCACUAUGAUUCACAUUUUUUAAAUAGACUUCAACCCCAUGACUAAUCUAAUAAAAUAUAUAACCACAACGUCUCCUACAAAAUCCUACUUUACAACUAUGUGUGUACUUCCUGUGUCUAGGACUACAACAUGUCCUGAAAGAACUACUGGCCACUGCUCCAAGACUGCCAG
This 621-nucleotide long non-coding RNA is filed under the name Oryzias javanicus (javanese ricefish). RNAcentral describes it as "lncRNA (ENSOJAG00000006458.1)". The record is from RNAcentral. Lineage: Eukaryota; Metazoa; Chordata; Actinopteri; Beloniformes; Adrianichthyidae.